UGUGAAUGGAGACUAGCCUGCUGGUAGAGACCUUGGCAGUGACCGCCGUGGGCAAUGAGCCAUGGGCCAACAAUAUUCAGUGCUGCGUUCCCUGAUGGAUGGUUACUGUUUGAGACUGAGGCCGGGGUAAAAGGGCUCAGUUUGUGCUUGAUUGACUCAUCCCGACGUGGCAAAGGUCCUGGCUUUCACCGGCGUGGGUAAGGGAAGAAGCGCUUUAUAAUGAAGACUAUAGUAGACUGAAUUACUCUCUGAGAUGAGGAGUUUGCUCUUGCCAUUUCAUAACCACUGGUGGCAGUUUUCGUCUUGCUUACAAGCUCUCCAGUUAUGCUCAGUAUUUCCAUGACAUCCCAAGACAUGCGGGCCAUGCUGCCACAUCCCCCUGUUUAACAAGUGUGGAAACUGAUAAUGGACUUACAAUGGCUGAUGUACUAUUUAGUGGUACAGGUUCUAACGUUUUAUAUUGUGGACAUGGGAUACCCAGACUGAGAACCAAUGGCUCCAGUCUGCUUUAAACAUGGGUCUGUGCUCACACCAUCAAUCCCUACCCUCUGUGCUCACAAGUCCCGUGUGAGUAAUACUCCAAAUUAUUCUGUCUUGUUUUGCUCAAUGGCAUGCUCUAUCUUAUGAUAGAGUAGACAAUGUAUUGAGACAAGAAUGCCAGUCAUCUGACAAACAAAAUGCAACCACUCUUUGUCAUUUAAUUAGUGAUGAAUAGUUGUGUUGAUCAUCAAACGUGUAUAAUUGGAUGAGAAGAGGUGUAACACGGGCCAAUGAUGACGAGGUUUCGGGAUUAUAAGUCACGGCAGCAUAAGAUGCCUCAUGUGACCCUCCCAUGCAGGGGUUGCAAGUCAGGCAUGUGCAGCACACAAUAGAUAUUAGCCAUGCACUCUCUUCAUUUCAUAGUAGAUCACAGAAUCAAGAUACGGAAAGG
This 931-nucleotide long non-coding RNA is filed under the name Mus pahari (shrew mouse). RNAcentral describes it as "lncRNA (MGP_PahariEiJ_G0012561.1)". The record is from RNAcentral. Lineage: Eukaryota; Metazoa; Chordata; Mammalia; Rodentia; Muridae.